CCGAGUUCAUGCCCUUACGGGGGUAGAUCUCCCACCCUGUGUUAUCAUUACCUUUGUUGCUUUGGCGGGCCGCCCGGCCUCGGUCAGGCUAUCGGCUUCGGCUGGUAAGCGCCCGCCAGAGGAUCCCAAAUCCUGGUUAUUAGUGUCGUCUGAGUACUAUAUAAUAGUUA
This 170-nucleotide unclassified non-coding RNA is filed under the name uncultured Hyaloscyphaceae. RNAcentral's name for it is "sequence contains ITS1". Lineage: Eukaryota; Fungi; Ascomycota; Leotiomycetes; Helotiales. The record is from RNAcentral.